UGGGGAAUAUUGGACAAUGGGGGCAACCCUGAUCCAGCAAUGCCACGUGUGCGAAGAAGGCCUUCGGGUUGUAAAGCACUUUAGUGAGGGAGGAAGGUUGUAGUGUUAAUACCACUAUGAUUUGACAGUACCUCAAGAAUAAGCACCGGCAAACUCUGUGCCAGCAGCCGCGGUAAUACAGAGGGUGCAAGCGUUAAUCGGAAUUACUGGGCGUAAAGGGCUUGUAGGCGGCUAAUUAAGUUAGAUGUGAAAUACCUGAGCUCAACUUGGGAAUGGCAUUUAAUACUGGUUGGCUAGAGUAUAGUAGAGGAAAGGGGAAUUUCCGGUGUAGCGGUGAAAUGCGUAGAUAUCGGAAAGAACAUCAGUGGCGAAGGCGCCUUUCUGGACUAAUACUGACGCUGAGGAGCGAAGGCGUGGGGAGCAAACAGG
This 429-nucleotide ribosomal RNA is filed under the name uncultured bacterium. RNAcentral describes it as "bacterial SSU rRNA". It matches the Rfam family "Bacterial small subunit ribosomal RNA", at positions 355 to 776 of the family's 1533-position model. The record is from RNAcentral.